Molecule: long non-coding RNA, 1277 nt
Filed under: Salmo salar (Atlantic salmon)
Lineage: Eukaryota; Metazoa; Chordata; Actinopteri; Salmoniformes; Salmonidae
Description: lncRNA (ENSSSAG00000099236.1)
Source: RNAcentral
CCCCCCCCUUGGGUUGUGCCGUGGCGGAGAUCUUUGUGGGCUAUACUCGGCCUUGUCUUAGGACGGACCUGAGCCCUAGGACCAUGCCUCAGGACUACCUGGCAUGAUGACUCCUUGCUGUCCCCAGUCCACCUGGCCGUGCUGCUGCUCCAGUUUCAACUGUUCUGCCUGUGGCUAUGGAACCCUGACCUGUUCACCGGACGUGCUUGUUGCACCCUCGACAACUACUAUGAUUAUUAUUAUUUGACCAUGCUGGUCAUUUAUGAACAUUUUAACAUCUUGACCAUGUUCUGUUAUAAUAUCCACCCGGCACAGCCAGAAGAGGACUGGCCACCCCUCAUAGCCUGGUUCCUCUCUAGGUUUCUUCCUAGGUUUUUGGCCUUUCUAGGGAGUUUUUCCUAGGGAGUUUUUCCUAGCCACCGUGCUUCUUUCACAUGCAUUGCUUGCUGUUUGGGGUUUUAGGCUGGGUUUCUGUACAGCACUUUGAGAUAUCAGCUGAUGUACGAAGGGCUAUAUAAAUAAAUUUGAUUUGAUUUGAUUUGAUUACUACUGAUAUUGAUUACUGCUGAUAUUGAUUACUACUGAUAUUGAUUACUACUGAUAUUGAUUACUGCUGAUAUUGAUUACUGCUGAUAUUGAUUACUGCUGAUAUUGAUUACUACUGAUAUUGAUUACUACUGAUAUUGAUUAUUACUGCUAUUGAUUACUACUGCUAUUAAUUACUGCUGAUAUGAUUACUGCUGAUAUUGAUUACUGCUGAUAUUGAUUACUACUGAUAUUGAUUACUGCUGAUAUUGAUUACUGCUGAUAUUGAUUACUACUGCUAUUGAUUACUACUGCUAUUGAUUACUACUGCUAUUGAUUACUGCUGAUAUUGAUUACUGCUGAUAUUGAUUACUACUGAUAUUGUUUACUACUGAUAUUGAUUACUACUGAUAUUGAUCACCACAUUGUUGGGAAGGAGCAAGCAAGAAAGGCAUUUCACUGUACUAGUGCCUAUGACAAUUAAAAGUAGAGAGACUAGGCUGGGCCCACACACACACACACACCUAUGUUUGCUCUGUUUGAUGGGUGGGGCUUGAAGCUAUGAGGGACAUAGUUUGAAGGGCCGCGGUGCACUUUGAACCCACAACCCAACCCCUCCACGUUGUUCAACAGGUCGUUCGGAACAGUUUCCAUUUAAUUGAACGUUGCAUUACGUUUUUUAACUUGGUCGUUCUGAACAGCCCUGUUCCGUUUAAUUGAACGUUGCAUUAUGUUUUUUAACUGGUCGUUCU